CGGGUGCACUGAUCCAGCCGGGCCUUUCCCUCUGUGGAACCCCAUGGCCUUCACUGGCUGUGGCGGGGAAACAGGACUUUUACUUUGAAAAAAUUAGAGUGCUCCGGGCAGGCCUAUGCUCGAAUACAUUAGCAUGGAAUAAUAAAAUAAGACGUGUGGUUCUAUUUUGUUGGUUUCUAAGACCCCCGUAAUGAUUAAUAGGGACAGUCGGGGGCAUCAAUAUUCAAUUGUCAGAGGUGAAAUUCUUGGAUCUAUUGAACACUAACUACUGCGAAAGCAUUUGCCAAGGAUGUUUUCAUUGAUAAGGAACGAAAGUUAGGGGAUCGAACACUAUCAUAUACCGUCAUACUCUUAACUAUAAACUAUGCCGACUAGGGAUCGGACGAUGUUAUUCUUUGACGCGUUCGGCACCUUUCGAGAAAUCAAAAAGCUUGGGCUCCGGGGGGAGUAUGGUCGCAAGGCUGAAACUUAAAGAAAUUGACAGAGGGGCACCACCGGGGGUGGAACCUGCGGCUUAAUUUGACUCAACACGGGGAAACUCACCACGUCCACACACAGUGAGGGUUGACAGAGAGAGAGAUCUUUCUUGAGAUUGUGGGUGUGGUGCAUGGCCGUUCUUAGAGUUGGAGAAUGAGUUGUCUUAAUAAUGAUAACGAAGAAGACGACAACAACCUAAAAAACACCCCGUACUGCUUAGCAGUUCGCCGGCUUGUUAGAGGAACGAUUCA
This 728-nucleotide ribosomal RNA is filed under the name uncultured eukaryote. RNAcentral's name for it is "bacterial SSU rRNA". It matches the Rfam family "Eukaryotic small subunit ribosomal RNA", at positions 670 to 1426 of the family's 1831-position model. The record is from RNAcentral.